AUUGAACGCUGGCGGCAUGCUUUACACAUGCAAGUCGAACGGUAACAGGCCUUCGGGUGCUGACGAGUGGCGAACGGGUGAGUAAUGCAUCGGAACGUGCCCAGAGGUGGGGGAUAACGCAGCGAAAGCUGUGCUAAUACCGCAUGUGAUCUGAGGAUGAAAGCGGGGGACCAGGCAGCAAUGUUUGGCCUCGCGCCUUUGGAGCGGCCGAUGUCAGAUUAGGUAGUUGGUGGGGUAAAGGCCUACCAAGCCGACGAUCUGUAGCUGGUCUGAGAGGACGACCAGCCACACUGGGACUGAGACACGGCCCAGACUCCUACGGGAGGCAGCAGUGGGGAAUUUUGGACAAUGGGCGCAAGCCUGAUCCAGCAAUGCCGCGUGCGGGAAGAAGGCCUUCGGGUUGUAAACCGCUUUUGUAGGGAACGAAAAGGCUCUGGCUAAUACCUGGGGCUGAUGACGGUACCGUAAGAAUAAGCACCGGCUAACUACGUG
This 492-nucleotide ribosomal RNA is filed under the name uncultured bacterium. RNAcentral's name for it is "partial 16S ribosomal RNA". It matches the Rfam family "Bacterial small subunit ribosomal RNA", at positions 30 to 507 of the family's 1533-position model. The record is from RNAcentral.